GACGAACGCUGGCGGCGUGCUUAACACAUGCAAGUCGAACGAUGAAGCCUAGCUUGCUAGGUGGAUUAGUGGCGAACGGGUGAGUAAUACGUGAGUGACCUACCUUUGACUCUGGGAUAAGCCUGGGAAACUGGGUCUAAUACCGGAUACGACCAAUCUCCGCAUGGGGUGUUGGUGGAAAGCGUUAUGGAGUGGUUUUAGAUGGGCUCACGGCCUAUCAGCUUGUUGGUGAGGUAAUGGCUUACCAAGGCGACGACGGGUAGCCGGCCUGAGAGGGUGACCGGCCACACUGGGACUGAGACACGGCCCAGACUCCUACGGGAGGCAGCAGUGGGGAAUAUUGCACAAUGGGCGCAAGCCUGAUGCAGCGACGCCGCGUGAGGGAUGACGGCCUUUCGGGUUGUAAACCUCUGUUAGCAUCGAAGAAGCGAAAGUGAUCGUAGGUGC
This 447-nucleotide ribosomal RNA is filed under the name Rothia dentocariosa. RNAcentral describes it as "bacterial SSU rRNA". It matches the Rfam family "Bacterial small subunit ribosomal RNA", at positions 28 to 482 of the family's 1533-position model. Lineage: Bacteria; Bacillati; Actinomycetota; Actinomycetes; Micrococcales; Micrococcaceae. The record is from RNAcentral.